Long non-coding RNA from Sebastes umbrosus (honeycomb rockfish), 498 nucleotides. RefSeq lists it as uncharacterized. The record is from RefSeq and is a predicted model, not a curated record. NCBI's taxonomy places the organism in Eukaryota, Metazoa, Chordata, Actinopteri, Perciformes, Sebastidae. The transcript is spliced from 2 exons.
GUCGUUAUCCAGCAGCCCGUUCAUGUUGGCGCUCUUCACCAUCUGCACCAGGAUGGGUGUCAGCUCACCCUCCAGAGCCAGCAAACCCUGCUCACACACACACAAGGAACACAAUGAACACAAUGAAGUGCAGGAAAACACAGCUGUGUGUCUCACCUUGACCUCCGGGGUACAUACAGCGGAAAGCCCUUCCCAGCUCCUCAGCCUGAACUCUGCCAGCAGGAGUCAGCUCUCCUCCCCACUUCAGCACCAGCAGCAGAGACGCACCUUCCUUACGAGUGUCUGAAAAACGAAUCCAAAGGUUAAUACUUACUUACAGUAUUCUAAGCCAGCUUUAACUUUUGAGUAGGAGGUGAAGAAAUCUUCCUACCUUCUUCCUCACUUGAGGUUUUGGGCUGCCCAUGGGGCAGGUAGGUUAGUUGCACUUUUCUGUUGAUCCCCGAGAAGUGUCCAUACCUUUAAUGGCAAGAAAAUAAAACACAUCUUGAGUCAUAAAAA